AGCAGGAUGUGGGCGGGGUCAAAUAAAGGAAUAAAAAGCUGGUAGCCGAGCCGGCAGUGGCAAACCGUUUGGGUCCUUCUCGGUACUCUGGUGGCUUUGUUGUUUUGCUCUUUGCGGUAGAUCUUGUUGCUGCUUGCUCUUCGGGGCCGCACAACCUUUAUGAGCUAUAACACUCCUGGCAGAGGUCUGCAGCUUCAUUCUUGAAGCCAGCGAGACCACGAACCCACUGGGAGGAACAAACAACUCCAGACGCGCCACCUGUAAGAGCUGUAACACUCCCUGUGAAGGUCUGUGGCUUCACUCCUAAAGUCAGCGAGACCAGGAACCCACCGGAAGGAACUCCAGACACAAAGAACUGCAACACUCACCCGAGGGUCUGUGGCUUCAUUCUUGAAGUCAGUGAGAUUAAGAACCCACCGGAAGAAACCAGUUCCGGACGUGCCGAGUUCAAGCAAUUGUCCUGCCUCAGUCUCCGGAGUAACUGGGAUUACAGCCUCAUUUCUCAACCCGACUGUGAUGACUGCCGCUUGCUGGAAAGAUGCUCUGAAGACACAAUGAACUGACGAUGCGUCACCCCGACUCCUGCCUGAGCCACUCCAUUCCUUAAAGACGCAACCGAAUGCCAAAAAUACGGAGGAGGCAGUGCGGCAUGGAGGCGGAUCUGCCUUACGAAAUGGGCAGGGGCCCCACGCGUGGGAGACGGCCACAGGCAUUUGGAAGAGUGUGGCACUUUUUCAGGAAAUGCAACAUCCUUCUACUCUGUGACCCAGCGGCUCCCCCUGGUGUUUACCAGAGAGAAAUGGACGCAGACAUCUGCCCAGAUGCAGGCACAGGAAGGUUCGUAGCCGCUGUGUUUCAAUAUUGUAAUUGCGCCAAUCUGGAGAUGACAGAGUCCAGGCUCAGGAGCGUGACUGGCAGCUGUGGCACAUCUGUGCCAUGGAGUGCUGCUCAGCACCAGGGGCAGGGGCUGUGGACGGAGCUGUGGACACAAUGUCAGGACCACGGUGGGCGAGGAGACGGGAAGCCGGGGGCCCUGUCCUGUGGGGUUCUGGAGCAGGCAAAGCAUGCCUGGGACAGAGAUGGCCAGGCCAAUAUUACCCCUGGGCGAGGGCCAACAGCAAGGCCAGGACUGAGCUUUCUGGGGUGGUGUUGAUGCAGGUGGACACAGCUGUCUACACGGAGUCCACCUCCCCCACUGCCAGCAUCUGUCCCGGAGGGCUCGGCUCACUGGCAGUUUGUCCGCAAGGUGGUGCUCAGUCACCAUGCACAGGAUAUUUUGACCGAAAGUUCUGUUUUUGCCAUAAAUUGCACCCUGACCACA
This is a long non-coding RNA of Pan troglodytes (chimpanzee), 1321 nucleotides long. RefSeq lists it as uncharacterized. Lineage: Eukaryota; Metazoa; Chordata; Mammalia; Primates; Hominidae. The record is from RefSeq and is a predicted model, not a curated record. The transcript is spliced from 3 exons.